This 805-nucleotide long non-coding RNA is filed under the name Schistocerca americana (American grasshopper). RNAcentral's name for it is "uncharacterized LOC124545414, transcript variant X1". Lineage: Eukaryota; Metazoa; Arthropoda; Insecta; Orthoptera; Acrididae. The record is from RNAcentral.
CUCUGCCCGUCGUACAGGUUGACUUUUCUCAACGAAUAUACGUUUCGAAACGACAUAGAGUAAAUACUUAAUACGAAACAACAAAGGUAUUGGUCAUUGUCAACAUAAAUUGUGAUUUACGUAUUGCUGCUACGGAUUAACGUGCUUACAUGAAGUAAUAAAUGCAAUCAAAGACCCAAAAUACAGUUAGAAUUUACUGAGGUCGUAGUGAAUAUCAGGACAGAAACUUAUACAGUGGUAAAGAUGUAGAAGAUGGAUGACCAAAACUGAGAGAGAAUUCUAGGACAGAAAAGAUGUAGAUGUUGGAUAACCAUCCUGGAACAGAACCGUAGGACAAGAAAGAUGUAGAUGAUGGGUGACCAAGCUGGGACAGAAUGCCAAGACAGGAAAGAUGUAGAAAUGAGUGGACCAGGAAGCAAAGAAUCAUUACACCAAGGUGUGCUCGGUUGUCUUGGACACUCCUAAUGUCCCCUGUGACAGGUCAGCCAGCAGCGACAAAGUCAUUAGUAUCGGGGUGGACACCCACCUUCCAGGCAACGAGAACAGCAGCUCAUCAUCGACGAUGUUUUCUUUUUCUAUUGUGGUGGGCAUCCGCAUACUAUAAGCGCAGCCAAUACACUAGCAGCACCACGUGUCGACGUCACGGGCACAGAGAAGACAUCACCUAUUGGCUGGAGACGCUGUGGCUCUGCUGUUACCACAACAGAAACAUUACAUCAUUGUGAGGCUACAUCAGUACAGUCAGAAAUGUUUACCUGGCAUUUAAAACUGAUUUUUGUUUACAAUAAACAAAUUAUUUGAGCAA